RNAcentral lists this long non-coding RNA (539 nucleotides) under Daucus carota (carrot). RNAcentral's name for it is "long non-coding RNA (DCAR_LNC003917)". The record is from RNAcentral. Lineage: Eukaryota; Viridiplantae; Streptophyta; Magnoliopsida; Apiales; Apiaceae.
AAGGAAGCAUUUGUUGCUCAUUUGUAUAAAACCCAACAAAAAACAAUACUGAAAGUACUGCCAUUGUCUUUUUCAAAAAGCCUAAAAACACACUUUUAGAUUAGUUGCACAGAAUAGAAUGAAAUUUUGUAGUAGUUUAUGGAUCAAUAUAUGUGUGUGCGCGCGCGCGUGUGUGUAAUUUUCAAUCAGUUAUCCUGAUGAACAUAUAUCUAGAAAAAUUGGAAAUUUGAACAUACAUGUAGCAAGUGCACUAAAUAGUGAUGAAACAUUCAGCAAAAAGGUGGAUUUUAAACCUAUAUCUAGCAAAAAGAUUGAAUGUUGAUCAUCUAUCCAGCAAAAAGAUGAAUGCUUGAACAUAUGUCUAGCAAAGAGUUAUAAAUUUGAACAUUAAAGUUUCUCUUGACAUAACAAAGACCCAGGUCGAAACAAAUAAUCAAUCAAUUACUCACUAUAUGUCAAUUUCACAAAGAACUGAACACAAACCUAGCUAAUAGUUUUAAUUGAAUUUUGAACAUAUAUCUACCAGAAAGAAAUAAUCU